This 380-nucleotide unclassified non-coding RNA is filed under the name uncultured Caryophanaceae bacterium. Its description in RNAcentral is "uncultured Planococcaceae bacterium contains 16S-23S intergenic spacer region". Lineage: Bacteria; Bacillati; Bacillota; Bacilli; Caryophanales; Caryophanaceae. The record is from RNAcentral.
UCUCGGCUUAUCACCGGCAGUCCCCCUAGAGUGCCCAACUAAAUGCUGGCAACUAAGAUCAAGGGUUGCGCUCGUUGCGGGACUUAACCCAACAUCUCACGACACGAGCUGACGACAACCAUGCACCACCUGUCACCGCUGUCCCCGAAGGGAAAGGUAUAUCUCUAUACCGGUCAGCGGGAUGUCAAGACCUGGUAAGGUUCUUCGCGUUGCUUCGAAUUAAACCACAUGCUCCACCGCUUGUGCGGGCCCCCGUCAAUUCCUUUGAGUUUCAGCCUUGCGGCCGUACUCCCCAGGCGGAGUGCUUAAUGCGUUAGCUGCAGCACUGAGGGGCGGAAACCCCCCAACACUUAGCACUCAUCGUUUACGGCGUGGACUAC